This 444-nucleotide ribosomal RNA is filed under the name Burkholderia sp. oral taxon C87. RNAcentral's name for it is "bacterial SSU rRNA". It matches the Rfam family "Bacterial small subunit ribosomal RNA", at positions 29 to 468 of the family's 1533-position model. The record is from RNAcentral. Lineage: Bacteria; Pseudomonadati; Pseudomonadota; Betaproteobacteria; Burkholderiales; Burkholderiaceae.
AUUGAACGCUGGCGGCAUGCCUUACACAUGCAAGUCGAACGGCAGCACGGGGGCAACCCUGGUGGCGAGUGGCGAACGGGUGAGUAAUACAUCGGAACGUGUCCUGUAGUGGGGGAUAGCCCGGCGAAAGCCGGAUUAAUACCGCAUACGCUCUACGGAGGAAAGGGGGGGAUCUUAGGACCUCCCGCUACAGGGGCGGCCGAUGGCAGAUUAGCUAGUUGGUGGGGUAAAGGCCUACCAAGGCGACGAUCUGUAGCUGGUCUGAGAGGACGACCAGCCACACUGGGACUGAGACACGGCCCAGACUCCUACGGGAGGCAGCAGUGGGGAAUUUUGGACAAUGGGCGAAAGCCUGAUCCAGCAAUGCCGCGUGUGUGAAGAAGGCCUUCGGGUUGUAAAGCACUUUUGUCCGGAAAAGAAAAACGCCCGUGGUUAAUACCCGUG